GCCAGGUGUCAAAUCAGCUCAUACUCGGGGCGUUUCUGAGCUGCUCCUUGGCCAGGCAGAGCUGCGGGCCCGUCAGCAUUCACAGGGCACCCCAGAGGCGCCAGGCACAGCCUUAUGACCCAGCAUUUUGUUCAACAUGGCUCUCUUCUUGCUUCUCACUCUAUCUGGCUCUGGAAGGGAAUUCUACAUGAAGAAGAAAGCAUAGGUGGUUGUGCAAGUCAGGUGAUGACUUCUGUUGUCCGUUCUCCAUCCCAGCCCUGCAGCUCAUCAGCGUGCUCUUCUCUCUAGGCUGACAGCCUCUCGGAUCCAAGCAGGUCCGCAUCCUGGCAGAAUGUCCUGAAGACAGGAAUGGAAAUUCCCUCAGAACAUCUCCGUUGUCUGGGCUCUCCCAUCUCCACGGUAACACUCCAGGAUGGUCUGUAAUCAGGAGGGGGCUGGGUUGCCAUGAUUCAGGUCUGAAGCCACUCCCAGAGCGGGAAAAGCCUCUGAGGAUUCUGGAGGUCACACCUGCCCAAGCCCGUUCCUCCACUCUGACAAUGGGGUCCCUGGGAGGUGGCCCUGGGAGCCAGAUUCUUAAGGGAAGAGCCAGGGUGAGAAGCUCUGAACUCUUGAGGGAGAAUCUGUGCCUGCUCUGCUUGGCAGGGCUGAGUACACCCCCAGGGCCUAAUGAGAAACGCCCUUGACGGAUGAAUGAUGAAGGAGGAAUCACAAACCAGCUAAUGGCCAUGUGCUGUGUGAGCCUUUUCCAAAUUCUAGACUUGCUCUACCAUUGACGGCCACUUCCAAGCUUAUAGGGCCCUGCCUUUGCGAGUAACCACACAUGCGUUGUUUCACGUCUGCAUGAUUGUAUCCAUAGAAUAAAUUCAUAGGAAUAGAAUUGUUAAUAGAAUUGCUCGACCAGGUUUCACAUGCAUUUGCCAUGCGAUGGAUGUGGCCAGUUUUCUGUUCUUCGAAGAGAUGGGCUUUAUGUAGCCUUCACAACACACAAGAACUGACUGCCCACACCCUGGCCCUGAGCAGGGCUUUGUGAGCAGGUUGAGCAUUUUCUUCAUGCGGUUAAGAGUGCCUUAUAUUUUGUUUUCUGUGAACUCAGUUGAAAUCCUUUGCUUCUUUUUACUUAUUGACUUACUGGUCUCUUUCUUAUUGAUUUAAAUAUUUGGAAAUGACUGUUUCUGGUAUUAAUUGCAAAUUUCUUUUUCAGCUUGUUAUUAUCUUUCAAUUGACUCGUGGUGGUGUUUCAUUCUAGGCAGAAGGUUUUAUUUUUGUGUCAUCAUAUUUCUUAGCAUUAUUAUGGCUUCUGGAUUUUGUCUUGUGUUUAGAUCUUCCCUACUCCAAUGUCAUAAAAAAUUCUCCCAUGGUCUCCUCUUUGCUUCUUUUCUUCCUUUUUUUUUUUUCUUUCUGGGAGUUACACCUUUGCUCUAUUUGGAAUUAAUUUUGGUGAAGUAUAGAACCAACUUCAUAGUUUUUCCAGGAGACUACCUAGUCAACAUCAUUAUAUGAAUAUCCUGUUUCCCCUCAUGAUUUGAAUGUCUUUGUCUUAUAAUUUGCAGUAUUUUGAGGUCUAUUUCUAUGCUUUCUAAUUAUUUAUUUGCCAGUAACAUAUUUUUAAAUGGACAUAGCUUUAAAUGGAAUUUUAUAAUAUGUUUUGAGAUCUGAUAGUAAUAGUUUCUCUAUUAUUUGUUUUUUCUUUUAGGUUUGUCUUAUGUAUUCUUAAAUAUUUCCUUACACAAAUUUAGAUUUAGCCUGUCUGGUUUUUAAAAAGUUAGCCUUUUAACUGGGAUUGUAUCAUAUGUGCAGAGACUAACUUUGCAAAAAUUGAAAGUCUGUAUACCUGCUUGGCUUCUGCCCCGUCUGUGCACAUCCCUCCGAGGCAGGGCCGUUUUCACAUUUCUUGCUAACCUUGUUGAAUUAUAUUUUUGCAUAUUUGUUUGCAAUUGCUCCUUCAGGGUUAUCCAGAUGCACAAUAAAAUAAUCUAUAAGUAAUCAUCACUUUCUCUGCUCCUUUCUCAUUUUUGCACUCCCAGUUUCUGUGCCUUAAUUGCAUGAGAUGUGC
Molecule: long non-coding RNA, 2053 nt
Filed under: Homo sapiens (human)
Lineage: Eukaryota; Metazoa; Chordata; Mammalia; Primates; Hominidae
Description: HSALNT0117380
Source: RNAcentral